GGGGAAUAUUGGGCAAUGGGCGAAAGCCUGACCCAGCAACGCCGCGUGAGGGAAGAAGGUUUUCGGAUUGUAAACCUCUGUCCUUGGGGACGAAAAAAAUGACGGUACCCAAGGAGGAAGCCCCGGCUAACUACGUGCCAGCAGCCGCGGUAAUACGUAGGGGGCGAGCGUUGUCCGGAAUUACUGGGCGUAAAGGGUGCGUAGGCGGUUAUUUAAGUCAGAUGUGAAAUCCCCGGGCUCAACUCGGGUGGUGCAUUUGAAACUGGGUAACUAGAGUGCAGGAGAGGGAAGCGGAAUUCCUAGUGUAGCGGUGAAAUGCGUAGAUAUUAGGAGGAACACCAGUGGCGAAGGCGGCUUUCUGGACUGUAACUGACGCUGAGGCACGAAAGCGUGGGGAGCAAAC
This 403-nucleotide ribosomal RNA is filed under the name uncultured bacterium. RNAcentral's name for it is "bacterial SSU rRNA". It matches the Rfam family "Bacterial small subunit ribosomal RNA", at positions 356 to 773 of the family's 1533-position model. The record is from RNAcentral.